GGAGCCUGUCUCCAUUGACGCCAGUGUGACGGGGUUUGCAGUUUGUUAGGGAGUGCGAGCGGCAGAGCGGCUGCUCACAAUGGAGCCUUUAUCCCGGAGAGUUCCACUCGGAACGGGCACGAGGGAGGUCGGCCGAGUAGCCACCAGCUCAGUCCCAGUCCCGGUCCCGGUCCCGGUCCCGAUCACUCCCCAGACCCUCCACUGCUUCUAAUUCCCCCGUUUUGGAUUCAACCAAUGCUGACUCAUGUAUUGAUGACAGAAGAUUGGUUUAAAUUAACAAAGAUGCCUCUUUCAUUGACCCUGAAGAUUGCUGUGCUUAAAGCAGUGGAGCUUUUAUCAGCACAGUACAUAUGUGAUUCAUAACAGAUAAGUAGAAAGUGAUGUUAGGACUCCAUUUGUAUUUCUAAAUUAAUAUUAGAUAAUAUUUCAUUAAAAAAAUGCAACCCUUUACUAUAAACUGGCCUGUUAAAUGUUGCAUUAUUGUCAAAAAUAUCUGAAUGUUGAUCUAAAAGAUAUAACAUACUGCUCCCUUACUCUAUAAGAUUACAAAAGACAAGAGUCAUACCACAAAGAAUAGUGUUUUCAUCAUAAAAUGUGUGUUUAAGAACGCACCAAAAUAUUUUACGAUAACUCUUAACUCCAUUGUUUGAUAGGCAAAAAGUCAGAAAUACUUCCUUAAUUCAUAGAAUCCUAUCGAGUGGAAGGAGCUCAUUUGGCCCAUCAAGUCACCCCCUACCCUGCGAAGAGCUUCCUACCCAGGCCCAACCCCCGUAACCUUGCAUUUCCCACAGCUAAUCCACCUAGCCUGCACAUCCCCUAGACACUACCGACAACUAAGCAUGGCCAAUCCACCUAAUCUGCACAUCUUUGGUCUGUGGGAAGAAACCCACACAGACACACAGAAUGUGCAAAUUCAAGACACAGUUGCCCCGGGAGUGGAAUUGAACCUGUGACCCCGAUGCUGUGAGGCAGUAGGGCUAACCGCUGAGUCACUGUGAAUCGCACUAGUUCCUUUUAGCACAACAUCUAUUUUAGAUAGACCAGAAAAGAGAGACUUAUUUGUAUAGCACUUUGCACAAUCACUGGAUGUCUCAAAGUGUUUUGUAGCUAGUGAAGUAUGUCUGACGUGUAAGCACAGCUGUGAUGUAAGAAAUGGAGAAACAUUGUUUUGCAAACAGCAGUCCUAGUUUGAUCAAUGAGAAAGUACUAAUUCAUGAUCAAUUCAGAAUUCUGACGACUAAAGAUCCGUCUUGUAUCCAACUUACACAUUUGUUUUGUGCUGAGUUUUCUUCACAUUAUACAUGUUUCAGCUGAGCAAGGGUAGCUUACACUGACUGACUGGAUCACAGUGCAAAUUGAUCUUAAAAUUUGUUUUGCUUUCUUCUUUGUCAGCAAGUCCUUGGCCUCUGCUGCUUGUAAUUAUACUCCUGCUUCAUAACAGUCAAAACUUGUCAUAAUAGAAUUUUUUUUUUUUUUUUUUUUGGAGCAAACUUGCACCCUAAAACCCUAAAACCCUACAUUGGGAGAAGCAACACAGAGCUUCCAUAUUGUGAAGGAAGAUUGUAGUCUGUACAUCAAAAGUAAAAUGCAUGUGUUAUUCUAGCAGUCUUUUAUACCAGCCUUUCUGUUGUUAUGCUCUCUGAUCACAUGUAUGUUCACGUACUUUAAUAAAAUUGCACAAGAAAACAUGAAUUCUAUUGUACUACCUGUGGUACAAAGUUGUAAUCUGGAACAGUAAACAAUUUUGGACAUAUCCAGUGAUACUGAAAAGGACAGAUUACAUUCAACAUAUCGCAAAUGACUCCAAAAUAAUGGGCAAUAUAAAGAUAAUCUUUAUUUCCUGUCUUCCCCUGCAAUCACAUUUUGGCUGAUUUGGCAAUUCUGUUGUCGGACCACAUUGAGAUGUUUUCCCAAUACAGUCCAAAUUUAGCUUCUACAGCUGUAUUUGAAAUUACAAAAUUUGUCAUAAUGGAUUAAAUGUAAAAGGUUUUGGGACUUGUCACAAUACAUUCGGGCUACAUUGCAGUGUUCAUAAUUAUAAAACUAAACUAGUAGAGACUUGUUUUGAUCAUGUACGUCAUCAGUAAGAUUAAGCUGUGCAUUUAAUUCUGAAUAUGGGACGCUUAAUCACUGGCUGUUUCUCCUUGUAAUUUGAUGCAUUGAGUAUUUAAUAAUGAAACUCUAGAAUUCUUUUUUAAAAGUUAGGCUGGCACAGAAUUUCUAGUAUUUAAAACAUUCCCAAGAUCAGCAUUAAUUUGAUGUGAAAUUGAGUAAUAUUAACUAAUGCUUUUAAUCCUACAAGAUCACAACUGUAAACAUUUCUGCUUCUAUUAUUAAGUCAUCUGUUCUAUUAUUUCAUGCUUUGUUGUUGCAAGUGUAUUUCAAUACUAAUCUUAUUGCCGCCGUGUUUUCCUAAUUUAAUAAUUGAGCUGCAGGUUAUAUCAUUAAGUGAAUAAAACAUCUAGGCAACAGAAUGUUUGUUUUAUUUUAUAGUGGUUCUGAAUGCAAGUUUUAAAAUAUUUAAAUCUUAAAAUUUUUGGUUUUAAAUUAAACUGAAAAGCCCAAAUAGACAUCCAACAUAAUAAAACUGGGAAAUGUUGGAAAAAUUCAGCAGGUCUGGUAGCAUAUGUGGAGAGAGACAAUUCUGAAAAAGUGUUUAGACUUGAAACAUUAAUUCUUGUUUGUCCCUCCACAGAUACACUCAAACCUAAUUGAGUUUCUGUAGCACUUUGUUUUUAUUUUGGAUUUCUAGCAUCUGCAGUCUUUUUGUUUUAUUUAACAUCAGACAUACUUAUUUUCAAAAGGAAAUCAAGUUAUGACAGAUGUGUAGAAUUGUUUUAAAAUUAAAGUAAAUUAUGGUUAUAAACUUUGUUCUCAAAUUUUCUAAUUUAUAUAGAUCAACUUGUAUGUUAUGAUUUGUACAGUUUUUACAAUAGUGCUGCACUGACUUGCACAAAAUACACAACAGAUCGGUCAUCACCUGAAAGAAAAGCAGAAGUUAAUGUUGCAAAUGAAAACUUGCAGUGAAUGAAGGCCUCAUCUUAAAAUGUUGACUUGUCUUUCAUAUAUUUACUAAUUUUCAUUUUAAAACAAAAUUGAGAAACUCGUGCGAAUUGUAUUGAACAAACCCAAGUUUAGAAAGAAAAGCAAUUAAAUUGGGAAGUACUGAUUUUUUUUUUUGUGUAUGGUGCUGUAGAAAGAACAGAAGAGGAAAGGAUUUAUUGAUCACUAAUGAGAAAAAGCAGACUUGUUGAACAAUGGCAUUAUAUUUAUAUAUUUAAAAUGUCCCAGAAUUUCACAGAAACAUUAUAAAUAAAAAUAUGAAGAACUUUUGUUUUUAAAAAAAGUAUUCACUAGAUGUGGGCAUCACUGGGUGGACCUGCAUUUAUUGGCUAUACUCCUUGAAUUGAGUAAGAAAUGCUGAUCUAGCCAGUGAUAGCCAUAUCCUGUGAACAGAUAAAUAUGCAAGUGGCCAGGUAUCUUAUUUUGUUCUUUGAUGCUCCUAUGAAGUAUCUUCAGUGCAUUAAUGGCACUAUAUGGAAAUCAUAGGGCAGAUGACCAUAAAACUUGGUCGGACGUGUUUUUAAGGAGCAUUUUGAACGAAGAAAGUGAGGUAGAAAAGUGGAGACAUUUAGGGAGGGAUUUCUGGCGUUAAGGCCAAUGCAACUUAAGGCAUGUCCACCAUUGGUGGAACAAUUUAAAAUCCACUAUUUCAGGCCAGACAUGGAAGAGCACGUGCUUUGAAUGGUUGUAGGCCUGGAUGAGAUUCCAGAGACUGAGGGACAAUCAUGAAGGAGUUUGACAACAAGGAUGAGAAUUUUAAAAUCAAGACACUUAGGCAAUGGAAUGUUGAUCAGGAAGUUUUCCAUGGAUGCUGCCUGACUUGCUGUGAUUUUCAGCAUAUGAUAGGAAGUUUUUUUUUAAAAAAAAAAAAAAAAAACAAGGCACAAGUUGGGACACAAGCAGGAGAGUUUUAAGUGAUUUCCAGUUUAGAGAGGAUUGAACAUGGAAAGCUGGUCAGGAGUCAAGCUGAGGUAAUUUUGAGCAUGGACAAAAGAUUUCAGCUGCUCAGUGUGUUAAAGUGAGAUGGAGUUGGGUGAUAUUAUUGAAGGCUUGGAUAUUCUUCCAUAGUUGGCAGGUACAGGAAUAGUGUAUUUUCGAGUCUGAAACUAAUCAGUAUUUAAUAGUUCUGAUCAAUGCUGUAAAAGAGAUGAUUGCAAUGCCUGUCUUGGAUAUGCAACAAAUAUUCAAAUGUUGGGCAGAUUUUGAUAAGAGUCAUGAGGAAAUGGAAUGAGGGUGGAAAAUAUCUGACAGGAAAAAUUAUUCUAAAUGUAGCCAAUCUAACAAUGAAGUGACAGUUCCGCAAACUCUGCAUGUGAAACUACCAAUUUUGAUAAAGAUGAAAGAAUAUUAUGGAUACAGCCUCUGAAGGUAGGAGAUCAUUGUUGUGUUAAAAUUCCUAAAAGCAUGCGUAAACUGCUUCUUUUGAACAGUGAAAUAAGAUUUUUAUUCAACCAUUGACUCUCAUGGAUGUAAUGAGGAAGUCAUUCAACCACUAGACUGAACAUUUUUGGGAUGAGACUGUGCAAAUUACCAAUUUAACAUAUUUCCUUCAUUUUCUGUUUAGAUUUCAUGGUUCACCUUUUUUUUUAAAUUUUAUCUGAGAGUCUGUUUUAGCAAGACUUGGUUAAUUUUGGGAGGGGAAUGCCCUUGGAUUAUGCACCAAAUGUAGGCCAUUUUAUUGUUUUCAAAGUAUCUCUAUUUAUGCAGUGCCUGUGCCAAUUCAAUUGUUACUUUUUUUUUUUAAAAAUUAACCCAAUUUUCUAAUCAACCUGUUAAGCAAUGUUACACACAUCUGGAACAGGUGGGACUUGAACUGAGGCCUCCCUGGUUAAAGGCAGGGACACUACCCCUACACCAGUGAGAGGGCCUAUGAGAAUACACUUAACUAACUGAAGGAUUAAAUUUCAGCUGACAAAUUAGAUGUCACAUUUUUGCAAAUAACUUCAAGGCACAAGAAUUGUUGCCCAACAUGUUUUCCUUGAAUGUUGUCCAGCUUUUCUUGACAAUCUGUGGGUGGUUUGCCCAAAAAAAACUUGAAUUUUUUUUGUUUUUAACAGUUGAAAUUUUAAUUUUCUAUUCAUAGUUUUGGGAAUCAUUUUACAUCAGUUGGAAAUUACUAAACCAUUUGCAGACAAGUUCAUGUAUAGUACUAUCUAUUGGGGUUGGUUUAUAAUGGAAGCUUAAUGUAUAUUGGCACUUUCAGUACCAUUUUAAUUUUUUUCCCAAUUUAAAAUUUUCCAAAAUACCUGAACGCCACAAAAUUAUUGUUUGUUUAUGGUUGUGAUAAUCUAAAAUAGUCACCUGCAUAUGAUUCAAUAAUUGGUUUACUUGGGUCAUUUUUAUCAACCGCAUCAGAAAUUUGAUUACCAGUGCUGCUGCUAAGUAGGAUCUGUUUUAUAUCAUGAGGAAUUAAGAAACCAAGUAUCCUUUUGAGUAAUUAAAUACUAAAGAAAAAUAAAAUAACUUUGUGACAAGCAUAUGAAUACUUGAAUUACAAGGUUCUAAAGAAGUUGCUUUUGAUUGACUCUGACUCUUAGUAAGUUUGCAAUUCAGCUGUACUGUUCAUUUAACAAUAAACGUUUUGUUCAUUUUUACUGUGUCAUGUGUCUCUACUUUCCUCUUUACCUCACCCCUAACAAGCCCUUACAUACAAAAAAAAAUUAGCUUCAGACAAAACAAGAUCAGAAAUUGUAUCCUGGUUACCAUUGUAAACUCUCUUCAUGGAAUCUGAUUUGGAUCAAUAGGUAUCAAUUUGGAAUAGGUAAUUAAUGUUUUUCUUCAAGCCUUAAAUUAUUCUUUUAAUAAUUCCAGAAAAUGUGCAAUCCAUUCUGCUGCCUUUGAUCUAGUUGAUAACAAUCCUUGAUGCAUAGUGGAGGCGGCUUAUAAUUUAGCAAACUGCUGUAACGGUGUGACUAAGUUAGAUGUGCUAUUGACCUAUUUGGGUUUAUAUGUAAAUUUUAUUUGAGAAAAUUAUGUAUUGUUUUGAUGGAAUAUGAUUUGAGGGCGCCUGCCUCUUCCUGGUUGAAACGUGUAACUGCAACAGUUCCGGUUAUUUGAAUACAACUGUUUCCAGCCAAAUGAAGAACCUGCAAAGCGGUCAACCACUGGAAAUAUGCCACCUGCCAAGAAUAUUUCCAUUUAGGAACGUAAUGGGCGUUUUUACUUCAAUUGUUUUGUUUUUUUUUAACCUACUUUGAAGUGGGGCUUGGCGAUAGAAGUCUAUUCGAAAAUAAAAGCACGGGUAGGGGGGAAUCAAUUAUUAUAUCCCUUGACAAUUGUUACCUUAAAUGCAUCAGGUGGAGAAGGUACGGUGCCAGGAUAGUAAAUAUGGAUAGUGAUUAAAGGCGAAUCGACCGGUAAACUGUACGACUUGCUUGAUUGUGAGUUUGACAAAAGUGGAGUAUUCGUGGCACGCAAUCGUGGCCAAGAAAACGUCGACAUAAAGUACACCAACAGCAUGUGCCUGCAAAUACAUAUAAGCAAACUUGACCCCGUGUAAAAAAAAUAAAAUCCCUACGCUAAAGUACUAGCUCUAAAAAUAUCCACAAUGUCUUAAUUUGGUGUUCUCGAGUUUCCGACGGGGUUUAAAAUAGCCGGAGUAAGCCUUGCCCCUGUGUGCAUCACUUGCAGACUGACAGUGCUGUGCCAGACCUGCUAUUUUUGGCCGAGCCGCCUCUCUGCGUCAAUGGCAGCGUUCCUGCGUCACACGGCACUUUGCUGGGCCCGGUGCGCAGCCGCUCACAUUUUCCCUUCGUUCAUUAAAUUGUUUCGCCCACGAAUCACUGACGCUGUUCUGCAACAGGCCGGAUUAAUAAGCUCCUUCUGUCCGCUCCUCGCCUUACAUCAUUAAAGGUAGUCACCAGACUUUUCCCAGAGCCGUCCACCCUCUCAACAUUAUUUCCGGCAGUGUAUACAAUAUACACGCAAUUGUUGGACUUUUAUAUUUAGUUCUGCAGCAGAGCGGCGAUGUUAAAUAUCCAAUUUCGCUAUUUUCAGUGCAGCUCUUUUUAAAACGUGCAUUUUAUCUAUACAACUGAAACUUAUUGUCCCACGCAUCCGGCAACCCGAAGUUAUUAUACCUCCUGAUGUUUUUAAAGCUUUACAUUCGAUUAACAGGACGGUUCUCCCGGUAUCCAAAACAAGCGAUCCUUAAAGCGAUUCGUAUUAUCUCUGAUCCUUAAAAUACGUGUGUUUUAAACGAAUAAAUGUCAAUUGAUUAAAGCAAACAUGGGAAUUUUAUUUCAAUGCUAGCUAUUACACUCACCAGUUUCCCUUGCGGGCUCUACCGAAUUACAAGAACUGACAAAACACAUCGUUAAUAAUGGAAUAAAUAUACUGGAAAUAAAAAAAAGUACGCAGUUUACCGUGAUAAAAUACAUCCAAAAUAAGUGAUCAAUAAGAUCGAUAAGCUAUAAACGGCGAAUAUUCCAACUACGUGUUGUUUUGGAAAUGCUGAAAGAGGAGGUGAGAAGGUUGCCUCAAGUCAUGCCCCAACUACCUUAAAAAUCCAAAGCGUUAACGUCACCUCGGAAAUUUACCAAAGUGAGACUUAGCCAACCGUGUGGUGCGGGCCCAGCCCUCGGGCGCUCAUUGGGUUUGGCUACGCUGACGCUCGCUGACGCUCGGAGACUUGGUUACGAGCUGCCGGUGGAAGAGGAGCUCACAUAAACAAAGGCACAUUGGGAGAGUAGGGCCAGUCCGAGUCUGAUCGCCUGCUCAGAGUGCGGAGAACAGCAACCUGUACCGCUGCUGCCGCUACUUAAACCACACACUGCUGCACUUCAAAGUUCAUUCCAUGUUGAACUGAGUUUCUACUCACCCUGUGAUCUGCCGUAUUUAAAUGAGAAGUGGAAGUAAACAUUUAACAAAAAAGAUUUCAUUGUACUGUUAUCAGAAUUGCGUUUGAGAAAAAUCACCCCGAAUUCUAGUCUUCGGGAAUUCAAAUCACAGCACUGUCUACUUUCCAAUUCUUUAACAGCCACCUUGCUGAAGCCAUGCCCUGUGUUCAAGCUCAGUAUGGGUCAUCGCCACAAGGAGCCAGUCCUGCCUCUCAGAGCUACAGCUACCACAGUGGGGAAUACAGCUCUGACUUCUUAACGCCAGAGUUUGUCAAAUUCAGCAUGGAUCUCACCAACACUGAAAUCACAGCAACCACAUCGCUACCAAGCUUCAG
This is a long non-coding RNA of Rhincodon typus (whale shark), 8236 nucleotides long. RefSeq lists it as uncharacterized. The record is from RefSeq and is a predicted model, not a curated record. Lineage: Eukaryota; Metazoa; Chordata; Chondrichthyes; Orectolobiformes; Rhincodontidae. The transcript is spliced from 5 exons.